Molecule: non-coding RNA, 106 nt
Organism: Cicer arietinum (chickpea)
Lineage: Eukaryota; Viridiplantae; Streptophyta; Magnoliopsida; Fabales; Fabaceae
Source: Rfam
AAGCAUGAUUGGGGCAUCCUGUUAAUAAUCUCUUGAACCUCCUGUAAGUGUCACAAAGGGAUUCUCCUUCUUUUUGUUUGUAACCGAAAAUCUCUUGUCUUUUUCU